AUCUCCCGGACGGGUGUCUGCCCCGUCCUCCCAGACAGCGCUGCGUCCUCAUCUCCGCGGCAGGCUUGUCGGCGAGGUUCCCGGUUACACCUGUAAUGAAGACAGAGUCCUGACUUUCAGACACUCCUGUAAAUUACUUCUUGUGCAACUGAAUUUGGACUGCCUGUUGUUGCUGGAUUAUGUGCAAAGUGUAGUAUGUGCUAAAAUGUUUCUUUUUUUUCUGACAAUUUUGACAACACCUAAUGUUGCAUAGCUUUGGAAUACAUAAAUUGUGGAAAAACUUGACUACAGAGAAACAGGAAAAUUAAAUGCUGGUAAUCUAUAAUAA
Molecule: long non-coding RNA, 328 nt
Organism: Tyto alba (common barn owl)
Lineage: Eukaryota; Metazoa; Chordata; Aves; Strigiformes; Tytonidae
Exons: 2
Source: RefSeq, a predicted model, not a curated record